This 261-nucleotide ribosomal RNA is filed under the name uncultured archaeon. RNAcentral describes it as "partial 16S ribosomal RNA". It matches the Rfam family "Archaeal small subunit ribosomal RNA", at positions 748 to 1009 of the family's 1478-position model. The record is from RNAcentral.
CAGCCGUAAACUAUGCGCGUUAGGUGUACUGGUGACCACGAGUCACCGGGGUGCCGAAGGGAAACCGUGAAACGUGCCGCCUGGGAAGUACGGUCGCAAGGCUGAAACUUGAAGGAAUUGGCGGGGGAGCACCACAACGGGUGGAGCCUGCGGUUUAAUCGGACUCAACGCCGGGAAUCUCACCGGAUAAGACAGCUGAAUGAUAGUCGGGAUGAAGGCUCUACUUGACUAGCUGAGAGGAGGUGCAUGGCGUAGUCGUGU